AAAUUUUAUUGUUUUGAAAAUGUUAUUAUGGCAUAAUAGUGAAAGAAAUUAACAUUUUUAUGUUUAAUUCAAAGUAUAGGUUAAGUUUUACUUAGACCUGGUUUUACAAAAAUGGUAAAAGUAAAAUUAGUGUUGAUAAAUCGUCUAUAUUGAUAUGAGUUUUUAGUAGUAUAAAAGGUUAUUACUUUUAUUUAAUAUUUAUAUGAUUGAAUAGUGUAAAAAGAUCAUCUAGGGGUGAUGUCUUUACAGUGUCACGACUUAAUAUAGAAAACCUAAUAUUAUAUAAAUUUAUUAAUGAAUUUACUAAGAUUUUAGUAAAUAUAUAAUUUUCACAUCAGUAAAUAAUGAAUGUUUUUAUAAUGUUUCAUUUAUAAAUAUAAAUAGUGAACUUGUUUUUCAGGAUCGAUUGUUUAUUAAAGACUUAGUCAUCUAAUGGAAGGCCACCGGUGCCCAAUGCCUCAGCCUAAUGAGCCGGUUUAUGGCGGUCUUAACGUGCGGACUUUAAUGUAGCGUAGUGAUCUGCCUUUUAAUUGUAGGCUUUGUAUGAAUCCGGAGAACGAUUUGAAUAUUUGCUUUUUUUAUAUUGAAGUUAAAUUUUUAUUAAGAAUUAUAAAAUGUAAUUAUACUAAGAUAAGUCUUUGGAAGUUUUAUAAUUUAUCUUUUUAUUUUUAAUAAUAUUAUAUUUUCUAUUUUCUAUUAGAAUUUUUCAUAAUAUUUUUUAGGAUAAUCUCUUAUAUUACAUUUGUUUUCCAUUUGUAUAUUAAAAUAUAGUGAUGAAUACGACGCUUUGGGUAAGAAUUUAAGUAAUGGUUUUUUAUCUAAUUUAUACUAACAGAAAUAGCUACUCCAGAGUUAACAGGACGAUUAACCCGUAAAAAAGUCGGGGAAGUGUUACAUCGAUGUUGUAUCUCUUUUAUAUGAUUGUUUGUUGGAUCAUAGCCGUUCCCAUAUAUUCGGACUGUUCCGCCGACAAUUAAGUAUCUCCAGAACGUGAUAUUAGUUUAAUUCGACGCAAGUCAGAGUGGUUAACUAGAUUUAACUAGAUAAUUACUUGGUAAAAUUGAGGGCUAGUACGAAAGGAUCGCACAUAGAAACUAAUGUUUAUUAAAAAGCCCAAAAAAAAUUAUUUAGAUUAUUAAGCUAACGAUUUUUAUUAAUUUAAUUUUAAUUAUUGUUUUUUAAUUAUGAGUUUUUUAAUAACGUUAAUAAUAUUGAGAUUGAUGUAAAACGU
RNAcentral lists this ribosomal RNA (1231 nucleotides) under Panagrellus redivivus. RNAcentral's name for it is "16S ribosomal RNA". Lineage: Eukaryota; Metazoa; Nematoda; Chromadorea; Rhabditida; Panagrolaimidae. The record is from RNAcentral.